Molecule: ribosomal RNA, 480 nt
Filed under: uncultured bacterium
Lineage: Bacteria
Description: partial 16S ribosomal RNA
Rfam family: Bacterial small subunit ribosomal RNA
Source: RNAcentral
GAUGAACGCUAGCGGCAGGCCUAACACAUGCAAGUCGAGGGGGAAGUUACUUUCUGGUAACUGAGACCGGCGUACGGGUGCGUAACGCGUAUACAAUCUGCCUUUCACUGGGGGAUAGCCCGAAGAAAUUUGGAUUAAUACCCCAUAGUAUAGUAGUGUGGCAUCACACAACUAUUAAAGCUUAGGUGGUGAAAGAUGAGUAUGCGUUCUAUUAGCUAGUUGGAGAGGUAACGGCUCCCCAAGGCUAUGAUAGAUAGGGGUUCUGAGAGGGAUGUCCCCCACACUGGUACUGAGAUACCGACCAGACUCCUACGGGAGGCAGCAGUGAGGAAUAUUGGACAAUGGUCGGAAGACUGAUCCAGCCAUGCCGCGUGCAGGAUGAAGGUCUUAUGGAUUGUAAACUGCUUUUGUAAGGGAAGAAUAAGGACUACGUGUAGUUUGAUGACGGUACCUUAUGAAUAAGCAUCGGCUAACUCCGUG